UUAAUGGCUGUCUCAGCUCGUGUCGUGAGAUGUUGGGUUAAGUCCCGCAACGAGCGCAACCCUUGUCCUCAGUUACCAGCACGUUAUGGUGGGCACUCUGGGGAGACUGCCGGUGACAAACCGGAGGAAGGUGGGGACGACGUCAAGUCAUCAUGGCCCUUACGGCCAGGGCUACACACGUGCUACAAUGGUGCAUACAGACGGUUGCCAAGCUGUGAAGCGGAGCUAAUCUGAGAAAGUGCAUCGUAGUCCGGAUUGGAGUCUGCAACUCGACUCCAUGAAGUCGGAAUCGCUAGUAAUCGUGAAUCAGAAUGUCGCGGUGAAUAACUUCCCGGGA
This 337-nucleotide ribosomal RNA is filed under the name uncultured Spongiobacter sp. Its description in RNAcentral is "bacterial SSU rRNA". It matches the Rfam family "Bacterial small subunit ribosomal RNA", at positions 1042 to 1378 of the family's 1533-position model. Lineage: Bacteria; Pseudomonadati; Pseudomonadota; Gammaproteobacteria. The record is from RNAcentral.